AUUCCAGGCUGUGGAUCCGGUCGUGGGAAGCAGGUAGGAAACCAUGAUUCUCGGGGUUAAAUGAAGAAAUAUAUUUAGUGCUCACAGAAAUUUAGAAAUUUAGAAAGCCAAAUAUUGGGUUAGCCGCCAGGAAUGGAGAGGGAAAAAACCCAAAGCAAACAGCAGAGGAAAGAAAUUCCUACCAGACAAGGUCCUUAUUCAUUCUCCCAACCCCAGGUGCAGGGGCCUGCAGGGGAGAGACCCGCUGAACUUAAGACUCUGAUCAAACCCCAGACUCGGACCCUGCGCUGCCCAUGGGGCCGACCGUCAAUAUCUGGAUUGGCAAUGGCACCCUAGAGCUCACUAAGUUGACCCUAAAGCCCUUUGGGAGCCAAGGGUGGGGGUGGGGAAGGAAUAACAAAGUAGAAAGUUCCUGGAUUGAGGUGGAAAAAUCAGUUUAACCUCCCUGGGCCUCAUCUACGGAAUGUAAGGGUUGGAUUAUGAUUUCACAGGUCAUAGCAUCCUACUAUUGUUUCUGCCUAAAAUAAGCAGCAAUAAGAAUGAGUGUGAGGAAGACCACAGCAGCAGGACCCACCUGUUUCUGAGGCCUAGGGAGAUGCAGUGAUAGAUUUCAGCUUAUUCCUCAUUCUCAGGUUUCUGUACCUUGACCCUCCAUAGAGUGAACUUCUAGGUUCUGAGCUGACUCCUUGGAAACCCUAGACUCCAGGGACGCGCUUCUAGAACCUGCUCAGAUUGCUACUCAGUUAACAGCCUGGCCCAGGAGGAUUGCAACACCCAGCCUGGCUCCCAGGCAAGCUAAAGAGGGCUUGAUGAUGGGAAGAGGUUAAGGGGUACGUGGAGAGAAAGAAGGAUCAGAAGGCGGAAACAUCAUAGACCUCCUGGGAUGCCUUCUGCAGGAUCACAGAGAAGGCAAAAUUUGUCCUCCUGACUACAAGAUGCCAAGAUACAUUUGUAUCGAGCCACUGAAUUCUCUACCCCUUCUGUAGAGGUGGUUGGGGAAGAGCUGCAGUAGGAAGCUGGGUCCCAAGUAAUGAAGGACCUUUAGAAGCAGAAGGUGUUAGGGUGGGGGCAAAGGACUGAACUCUGACCAACCAGAAGAAAGGAAAAACUGGAGUUCCUUUCCCCUAGUGAGCAUACAAAGGCUUUUCAUCCGCUGAACCCAGCGCAUCUGCUACCAUUUCCCUGGUCUCCGGUCAGAACUAGUGACUGUCCCAUAAACAGGUUCUGCUGGACUUCCAGUCAAGAUGGAGCGGGCCGCACACAUACAGAGCUGAACUUGUAUCGCCGUGUAGAUGAAGACAAACACCUUUAGGAGAUGGCAGAGAAACAAAAUGGGAAACCCUCAGGUCUCCAAAUGACUACACCAAGCAGAAUUGCCCCACCAGCCUGCACCAUUCAUUUCUAGACUAUGAGCAAGAAGUACACUUCCAUCUUAUUUAAACAACCA
This 1447-nucleotide long non-coding RNA is filed under the name Homo sapiens (human). Its description in RNAcentral is "HSALNT0346261". The record is from RNAcentral. Lineage: Eukaryota; Metazoa; Chordata; Mammalia; Primates; Hominidae.